This 902-nucleotide long non-coding RNA is filed under the name Malus domestica (apple). RNAcentral describes it as "long non-coding RNA (MDOM_LNC005597)". Lineage: Eukaryota; Viridiplantae; Streptophyta; Magnoliopsida; Rosales; Rosaceae. The record is from RNAcentral.
CAAGACUCAACUCAAAACAAAGUGAGUUGAGAAAGUAUACCUUUGUUGAUUCCUCUUUGCAUAAGCAAAGGAUAAUCACCCAAGAGAUAGGGCCUUCAUUCCUUGCUUCUUAGAUCCAUGGAUGUGGAUGGAAGAAUAGGUUUCUCUAAGUUCUCAAAAUUGAGAACCUCUAAGUCUCCACACCAAGGUAAGAUUUUAGGAAGAAAUGAGUGACCUAGAGGAAGUAAGAUUACUAGCUAUUUUCCUCUAGGGUGGCUGGCCUCUUUAGAGAGAAAAGAGAGUUUGUGUUCUCAUAUUUUCUCUAAAAGAAACCCUAAAUGAAUUUUGGCUAUAAAGUCAUAUUUAUACCUACAUUCAUUGGAGUGGCAAACUUGUAAUUAAGUCCAAAACCCACCCCUUUAUCAAUAUGGCCGGCCAUAGGGUUUCGUUGGGCUUUUUAGUCCUUUGUGAAUUAUUUGUCAUUAAGUUGUCAUACAACUUAAGUCAAUGGGCUUGACGUUAGAAGCCCAUUGGGCCUUGAUGGCCAAAACUAACCCAUGGUCUUUUAACGAACUUUAUUCGUUUGAUUAAUUAACAUAUUAAUUAAUCCUUGCCAUAAAUAAAUAAUUAAACCAUUUAAUUAUCCUUACUCAUCUCCGUUGUUUCUUUAAUCUCUACCUUACACGGUGUACGAUCCAUUAGGUUCCAUUAGGCAGUGGGCGAUUAGAACUCUUUCAAAUCGAUUGUGAAUUGAAACUUACUUUCAAUUCUCCCUUUAGUGAUUAUACACGUUUACGGCUUCCACAAACCAUGAGUAACACCUAGCAGUAUGUCAUGGUUACCCAAGUUAAUCAGAAGAGGUGGAGAACCUAUUCAGUUUAGGAUUACAAUGCAAUACGGUCUUUCUCUAAUACAAUACUCUU